GUUAGGAAUAUUGGACAAUGGGCGCAAGCCUGAUCCAGCCAUGCCGCGUGAGUGAUAAAGGCCUUCGGGUUGUAAACUGCUUUUGUACGGAACGAAACGGUCCUGGUUAAUACCUGGGGCUAAUGACGGUACCGUAAGAAUAAGCACCGGCUAACUACGUGCCAGCAGCCGCGGUAAUACGUAGGGUGCGAGCGUUAAUCGGAAUUACUGGGCGUAAAGCGUGCGCAGGCGGUGCUGUAAGACAGGCGUGAAAUCCCCGGGCUCAACCUGGGAAUUGCGCUUGUGACUGCAGUGCUGGAGUACGGCAGAGGGGGAUGGAAUUCCGCGUGUAGCAGUGAAAUGCGUAGAUAUGCGGAGGAACACCGAUGGCGAAGGCAGUCCCCUGGGCCUGUACUGACGCUCAUGCACGAAAGCGUGGGGAGCAAACAGGAUUAGAAACCCGAGUAGUCC
This 450-nucleotide ribosomal RNA is filed under the name uncultured bacterium. RNAcentral describes it as "partial 16S ribosomal RNA". It matches the Rfam family "Bacterial small subunit ribosomal RNA", at positions 354 to 796 of the family's 1533-position model. The record is from RNAcentral.